This 449-nucleotide long non-coding RNA is filed under the name Theobroma cacao (cacao). Its description in RNAcentral is "long non-coding RNA (TCAC_LNC005583)". The record is from RNAcentral. Lineage: Eukaryota; Viridiplantae; Streptophyta; Magnoliopsida; Malvales; Malvaceae.
GGAAGGGGUGGUGCUGGGGGUCAACAUUUCACUGCGAAUACUACACAAUUCGCAUUAUUUGAUUCUUAAUGAUAGAAUUGACCGGAUACACCCAAGCUAUUCAGCAGAAUAAAGUCUCACCAGUUGGUUUUUGCUCCAAAAUUCAAACUCACUUUUCCUUUUCUCUGCCUCUUGAUUGGAGGUACAACCACGCAAUGUCAUGUAUCUCAUGAUUGUGAACCUGGUGCUGGUGGGAUGGCUUUGCCCUUUUUCCCAUUUAUGGGUCCGUCACCUCGACAAGAAAAGUCUUCAUAUAUCACAUGCCCAUUCACUUUAGUCCAUAUCUACUCAACUCAACUCAACUCAAUAAUCUCAUUACCUUAAAAAUAUCUCCUAUGACCAAGGCACGCACUAAAUUUUCUGUUUUCAUCUCUUGCUUUUCUGCAACAAUGGAACUUAAACCAAUGCUC